RNAcentral lists this ribosomal RNA (301 nucleotides) under uncultured bacterium. RNAcentral describes it as "partial 16S ribosomal RNA". It matches the Rfam family "Bacterial small subunit ribosomal RNA", at positions 509 to 807 of the family's 1533-position model. The record is from RNAcentral.
CAGCAGCCACGGUAAAACGAAGGGUGCAAGCGUUAAUCGGAAUUACUGGGCGUAAAGCGUGCGUAGGCGGUUUGUUAAGUCUGCUGUGAAAUCCCAGGGCUCAACCUGGGAAUGGCAGUGGAUACUGGCAAGCUAGAGUGUGUCAGAGGAUGGUGGAAUUCCCGGUGUAGCGGUGAAAUGCGUAGAGAUCGGGAGGAACAUCAGUGGCGAAGGCGGCCAUCUGGGACAACACUGACGCUGAGGCACGAAAGCGUGGGGAGCAAACAGGAUUAGAUACCCCGGUAGUCCCUGUCUCUUAUAC